This 253-nucleotide ribosomal RNA is filed under the name uncultured bacterium. RNAcentral's name for it is "partial 16S ribosomal RNA". It matches the Rfam family "Bacterial small subunit ribosomal RNA", at positions 524 to 776 of the family's 1533-position model. The record is from RNAcentral.
UACAGAGGGGGCAAGCGUUGUUCGGAAUUACUGGGCGUAAAGGGCGCGUAGGCGGCCUGUUAAGUCGAACGUGAAAUCCCCGGGCUCAACCCGGGAACUGCGUCCGAUACUGGCAGGCUUGAAUCCGGGAGAGGGAUGUGGAAUUCCAGGUGUAGCGGUGAAAUGCGUAGAUAUCUGGAGGAACACCGGUGGCGAAGGCGGCAUCCUGGGCCGGUAUUGACGCUGAGGCGCGAAAGCCAGGGGAGCAAACGGG